GAUGAAGAACGCAGUGAAAUGCGAUAAGUAGUGUGAAUUGCAGAAUUCAGUGAAUCAUCGAAUCUUUGAACGCACAUUGCGCCCCUUGGUAUUCCAUGGGGCAUGCCUGUUCGAGCGUCAUUUGUACCUUCAAGCUCUGCUUGGUGUUGGGUGUUUGUCCCGCCUCUGCGUGUAGACUCGCCUCAAAACAAUUGGCAGCCGGCGUAUUGAUUUCGGAGCGCAGUACAUCUCGCGCUUUGCACUCAUAACGACGACGUCCAAAAGUACAUUUUUACACUCUUGACCUCGGAUCAGGUAGGGAUACCCGCUGAACUUAAGCAUAUCAAUAAGCGGAGGA
RNAcentral lists this unclassified non-coding RNA (337 nucleotides) under soil metagenome. Its description in RNAcentral is "partial contains 5.8S ribosomal RNA, internal transcribed spacer 2, and large subunit ribosomal RNA". The stretch from base 1 to 120 matches the Rfam family "5.8S ribosomal RNA", at positions 35 to 154 of the family's 154-position model. The record is from RNAcentral.